RNAcentral lists this ribosomal RNA (253 nucleotides) under uncultured bacterium. RNAcentral describes it as "partial 16S ribosomal RNA". It matches the Rfam family "Bacterial small subunit ribosomal RNA", at positions 524 to 776 of the family's 1533-position model. The record is from RNAcentral.
UACGUAGGGGGCAAGCGUUGUCCGGAAUCAUUGGGCGUAAAGCGCACGUAGGCGGAUUUGUAAGUCAGGGGUGAAAUCCCGGGGCUCAACCUCGGAACUGCCUUUGAUACUGCAAAUCUCGAGUCCGAUAGAGGUGGGUGGAAUUCCUAGUGUAGAGGUGAAAUUCGUAGAUAUUAGGAAGAACACCGGUGGCGAAGGCGGCCCACUGGAUCGGUACUGACGCUGAGGUGCGAAAGCGUGGGGAGCAAACAGG